Carcharodon carcharias (great white shark) is the source of this 524-nucleotide long non-coding RNA. RefSeq lists it as uncharacterized. The record is from RefSeq and is a predicted model, not a curated record. Lineage: Eukaryota; Metazoa; Chordata; Chondrichthyes; Lamniformes; Lamnidae. The transcript has 2 exons.
CGGGGCCUGACGUGAUGAUGAUGAUGAUGAUCCCCGUCAUUAGUAUUCACUUCACAGUUAGUGUGAAGCGGCUAACAUACCGGCUAUGAGUGAGGUCGCCGGCAUCACACUCCUGACUGCAAGUGAUGUAUCAAUCCUUUUGGUGUCCUGAAUGUAGAAUCUACAGACGCAGUCUACUAAUAAUGGCGACAAGCUAUAACAAAGGAGCUUGUAUGAAUUCCUUUAAAGUUGCCUUUCCCCUUCUGCACCGCAGGCAAAACCACUCUUAACAAAUGGCUUGAUCACAUUUCAGAAUGUUUUCUGAUCGUUGCAAUAGAAUUUUACUUUUGUAACUUUUUUGAUUAUAUAUGUACAAAAGCAUUUAAUAAAGCAGUAAUUCAGCUAAUUUGUGUUCAUUCUGUGCCACUAUGCUAAUUGACAAUUUUAAAGGUAAUGUUUCAGCUAGGGUUACAUUUAAUUUGCAUUGUAUUUGCAACAUUGUACAAAAGCAUCAAUAAAUGCUGCUGUCUUUUCUGGUAACAUAA